AGCCCUAAAUUACAUGUGACACUCCUUUGGGACCUUCACCAGACCCUUCACAUCAUUACCAGUAAGGUGCUUCUACAGGAACCCAGGACACUUGUACAUUCUCACAACAUCAGAAUCUUCAAGAAAUCUCUAUUUUGACACAAUUCUGCACAUGGCCUCAACAGUUUGAUAAUAGUGAUUGCUGAGUCCUUGCCAGUGUCUGGCAGCAUUAUCCCAUACUUUGCAUAAGGUGAUGUAAAAGGCAAGGCACCCACUACUUGGAAUAUAUACGCUUCAUUAUUUAGUCCCAAGAAGAACACACUUACAAGUCAUCGUUAGAAGUAAACAGUGUGCAUAUGUGAUCAGUCAUUGAAGAAUGAACUUGCUUAUCAUGGACAUCAAGAGCCAAUGGAAGAGGAGAUUUUUCCCUAGGGAGAGGAGUGUACAGAGUGAUAAGCAUAAUGGGAACUCCAGUUGUUCACCCAAAUCCAGAAGCAGGAGGCUUCAAUACUUGAUGGAACAACUCCAGAAAAGAAACUUUGGAAAAGUUCUAAGGGGCCAUGGCAGAACUUCUCUGGAUCCGAAAUUUCUGAAAGACCUGGACUGUUACUGAAAGAGCGUGACUUAUGUCCUGCCUUCGUCUAGGAGAAUAUAAAAGGGCACUAAAGUUAUAGAACAGAGGCUGAAAUAGUCAAGUUUUCAGUGCUUCCUAGACUCCUACACUGGCCAUCUUAGGUCUUGUUAGCAUGACUUUUAGUUCUUUUUGUAUAAUAAUUUUGUUUAAUACAGAGAUGAUUACAUAAUAACAGCUAAAAUUACUUGUUCAUAAUAGGUGUUCGAUGACAUUGUAUUUGGAUAAAUAGAUAGAUAUUACUCUGUAUAAAACAAAAUAAAGUUGGAAAAUUACUU
This is a long non-coding RNA of Mus pahari (shrew mouse), 888 nucleotides long. RefSeq lists it as uncharacterized. The record is from RefSeq and is a predicted model, not a curated record. The transcript is spliced from 3 exons. NCBI's taxonomy places the organism in Eukaryota, Metazoa, Chordata, Mammalia, Rodentia, Muridae.